RNAcentral lists this ribosomal RNA (253 nucleotides) under uncultured bacterium. RNAcentral's name for it is "partial 16S ribosomal RNA". It matches the Rfam family "Bacterial small subunit ribosomal RNA", at positions 337 to 606 of the family's 1533-position model. The record is from RNAcentral.
UCCUACGGGAGGCAGCAGUGGGGAAUAUUGCACAAUGGGGGAGACCCUGAUGCAGCGACGCCGCGUGAGUGAAGAAGUAUUUCGGUAUGUAAAGCUCUAUCAGCAGGGAAGAAGAAAGACGGUACCUGGCUAAGAAGCCCCGGCUAACUACGUGCCAGCAGCCGCGGUAAUACGCAGGGGGCACGCGUUAUCCGGAUUUACUGGGUGUAAAGGGAGCGUAGACGGCUGUGCAAGUCUGAAGUGAAAGCCCAGG